RNAcentral lists this long non-coding RNA (274 nucleotides) under Prunus persica (peach). RNAcentral describes it as "long non-coding RNA (PPER_LNC004373)". The record is from RNAcentral. Lineage: Eukaryota; Viridiplantae; Streptophyta; Magnoliopsida; Rosales; Rosaceae.
UUUACACCAUAAUGAACCGAGCAGACCCAGCAUCAAAGCGACUAGCACCAAGGCAGCCACGCCUUCUCCCAUGCCGAAGGAAGACACACUUCCGAGGUGCCAGACACCUGCCGAAGCUCUCAGCUACCAAACCUAAUCUCCAGGACACGUGUCGUCACCACAACGGCUUGCACAAAGUCCCACAUUGGAACUUUGUGCAAAGCUCCCACUUUCACUUCCCUAUAAAUAGGGAACAGUACCCAGGUAAAAAGAGGAACUACUCUCCCACUUUUAC